RNAcentral lists this ribosomal RNA (322 nucleotides) under uncultured eukaryote. Its description in RNAcentral is "partial 18S ribosomal RNA". It matches the Rfam family "Eukaryotic small subunit ribosomal RNA", at positions 1470 to 1796 of the family's 1831-position model. The record is from RNAcentral.
CCCUUAGAUGUCCUGGGCCACACGCGCGCUACACUGACAUGUUCAACAAGUUUCUCCUAGUUCGACAGGACUGGGAAAUCUUUGAACGCAUGUCGUGAUAGGGAUAGAUCAUUGCAAUUAUUGAUCUUGAACGAGGAAUUCCUAGUAAACGCGAGUCAUCAGCUCGCAUUGAUUACGUCCCUGCCCUUUGUACACACCGCCCGUCGCACCUACCGAUUGAAUGUUUCGGUGAAGAUUCCGGAUAGGACUGAUUUGAUUUAUUUCAUUUCUGACCUAAAAGCUAUCUAAACCUCAACAUUUAGAGGAAGGUGAAGUCGUAACA